Thunnus maccoyii (southern bluefin tuna) is the source of this 314-nucleotide long non-coding RNA. RefSeq lists it as uncharacterized. The record is from RefSeq and is a predicted model, not a curated record. The transcript has 3 exons. Lineage: Eukaryota; Metazoa; Chordata; Actinopteri; Scombriformes; Scombridae.
UCUCUCCGCACAAGAUGGCUUCCACCAAGGCAUCAUGGAUGAAAACAUACUGUUCCUGUAGAGAGAGAGAGACAGAUAGUACAGACAGUGAUUAAAUGCUUUAUUCAGUCUCAGUCCGGCUGAGCAUGCUGUCCAGGACGAUGUACGUGCCCGUCCGGCCGACGCCAGCGCUGCACAGCAGCAAGAGAGAACGAGACGAUUAAGCCGGGAAUUAACUGACAUGAGGAUGGAAACGAAACCCCUCCUGGGUUAGUUUCAUCAGAUAUUACCUGCAGUGCACCACCACCGGCCCCAUGUCGUCCGUCCUGGCUCUG